RNAcentral lists this ribosomal RNA (274 nucleotides) under uncultured bacterium. RNAcentral's name for it is "partial 16S ribosomal RNA". It matches the Rfam family "Bacterial small subunit ribosomal RNA", at positions 523 to 796 of the family's 1533-position model. The record is from RNAcentral.
AUACGGAGGGUGCGAGCGUUAAUCGGAAUUACGGGGCGUAAAGGGUGCGUAGGCGGCUUGAUAAGUCGGAUGUGAAAGCCCCGGGCUUAACCUGGGAAUUGCAUUCGAUACUGUCGGGCUAGAGUAUGUCAGAGGUUGGCGGAAUUCCUGGUGUAGCGGUGAAAUGCGUAGAUAUCAGGAGGAACACCAGUGGCGAAGGCGGCUAACUGGGACAAUACUGACGCUGAGGCACGAAAGCGUGGGGAGCAAACAGGAUUAGAAACCCUAGUAGUCC